This 301-nucleotide ribosomal RNA is filed under the name uncultured bacterium. RNAcentral's name for it is "partial 16S ribosomal RNA". It matches the Rfam family "Bacterial small subunit ribosomal RNA", at positions 509 to 807 of the family's 1533-position model. The record is from RNAcentral.
CAGCCGCCGCGGGAAUACGGAGGGUGCAAGCGUUAUCCGGAUUUAUUGGGUUUAAAGGGUCCGUAGGCGGAUCUGUAAGUCAGUGGUGAAAUCUCACAGCUUAAUUGUGAAACUGCCAUUGAUACUGCAGGUCUUGAGUAAAUUUGAAGUGGCUGGAAUAAGUAGUGUAGCGGUGAAAUGCAUAGAUAUUACUUAGAACACCAAUUGCGAAGGCAGGUCACUAAGAUUUAACUGACGCUGAUGGACGAAAGCGUGGGGAGCGAACAGGAUUAGAUACCCCCGUAGUCCCUGUCUCUUAUAC